Thalassophryne amazonica is the source of this 3016-nucleotide long non-coding RNA. RefSeq lists it as uncharacterized. The transcript has 4 exons. The record is from RefSeq and is a predicted model, not a curated record. NCBI's taxonomy places the organism in Eukaryota, Metazoa, Chordata, Actinopteri, Batrachoidiformes, Batrachoididae.
CCAACACUGCAGUCCAAUUGGUGGUGGUUGCCAACCGCCUUUAAACACAAAGACGAUGACGACGACGACGACGAAGAAGAAGAAGAAGAAGAAGAAGAAGAAGAAGAAGAAGAAGAAGAACAACAACAACAACAACAACAACAACAACAACAACCCGACGGCCAUAUUUGGGUUGACAUGCUUCUACAACGUUACAGACAACAUGGGAUUAAUCCCGAUAUCUCUCUUCCGAGACAAACGAGAUGCAUUCGACGAAAGAGAAGAAGAAUUGUAUGUGGUGAAACCAUUGAUCCCAACUCUUCACAGUCGGUUGCUCCCGAGCAUCCAAAGACUGACGAAGGAAUUGAUUGUAACCACUGUGGCACUGAUGAUGAACAACCUGAAACUGACUUACCAAUGAAGGAGCUGUGUUUCAACAUAGUAGUUCUCAAGAUGGUGGGGUGGUUUUAGAACAGGAUGAUCUAGUGGACAGUGGAACCGAGGGUGAUGUUCACAAUGAAGUAGACCAAGCAGAUUCAGCAGACGUGAUAUGGUGAUGAUGGAUCUGAUCGUAACGUUGAAGAUGAUAACACUUGGCAUAUUGAUGGCAACAAGGAAGGCGAGGAUGAUUUGGGGCAAGAAGAGGGUGGAGACUCAGGACAAAAUGAAGAAAUGGAUCAGGGGGAUGAAGAUUGUCAUGACAAUGGAGUUGACUCUGGAGGAGAUGAUGAAGAUGAUGAUUUUCAGCAUGGUGAUGGGGAGGAAGGAGAUGAACCAGAUGAUAAUUACCGGGGAUUCAGCCUUGAAGAUGGAAAUCUUCCAAUUUAUCCAGAUGCACCCAUCACCAAGUCACAGAGUCUACUGCUGAUAGUGUCCUGUGUCUUGCGGCAUGGUCUUUCUGAUAGUUCUUUGGAUGAUCUUCUUUCUUUGAUGAAUAUACACUGUCCAAACAGUGUUCCUGCUGUACAAGAGUGUUGAAGAUUCAAUGUACGAGGUUCACUGUUAUUGCAUGGAGUGUACUGCAUAUCUUGGCCCCGAGAAAUUGUCAAGGAAUUGUACAAACUGCGGCAAUGAAUUCAGUGCAGACAUCUCACAUGCAGAAGGUAGUUUUUUUUUCUCAGGAUGCCUGUCAAAACAUAGCUGCAAAGAAUGACGAAAGUACCAGAAGUGGCAGCUGCCCUUGAAAAUCGAAAUAUUGAUGAACUCUUGAGAGAAACUAACAUAAAUGACAUUGUUCAUGGUAUACCUUCAUAAAGACUGCAGGAUAUAGCACCUCGAAGUGAAAUAACCAGAUGCCCCAGGUCUCUCAAAACGCAGAAGUAUUGAAAGGUAUCUGAAUGGCGAGCUCUCCUGUUCUAUUCUUUGGUGGUAUUUCAGGAAAUUUUACCUGCCGUGUAUAUGAAACACUGGUUCUUAUUUGUAUUUGGUAUUUAUGACCUCAUGAGGGAGACUGUUUUUGAAAGAAAGGUUCGUGAGAGCAACACUUGCCUCAGGAUGUUUGUUCUAAUGACUGAGCAGUUGUAUAGAAUAAGACAUUGCACUUUCAGUGUCCACUCAUUGAUUCAUUUUGCCCAGUCAGUUAUCAGCACUGGCCCUUUAUGGGCAACUUCCACCUUUGUUUUUGAGGGAUACAACAGGACUUUGAUUAGGUGUUUCCACAGUACCCAGGAAGUUGGUUUGCAGAUUUGUGAGACAUUCUCUCUCAUGAAGGUUAUGACAGAGUUAGCAGUUAAUUGCAUGGAGGAGAACACUGAUGUGUCUGUCCUGUACACCUCAUUGGCCAGCAGACACACUAAAUCAAAAUGCACAAACAUGUUUUCAAAUAAUUUGUGUGCUCUUGGCAAAGGAGAGCAAGUUAUCCUGCCUCCAUCAAAGUUACUGGCUGCAAGCAGACUGACAGGGAACCAAGUGCACACUUCCGCCAUUGUAUACAAGAGAUUUAUUUUUCAUCACCAGCAGUGACUAUUUUUGAUCUGCUCAGCCUUGCAACUGCUAUGUUGCAUUUACUCAUGGUGUGUAUAAAUAUGGAAGAAUUUAAUCUUUUUUCUGUGUUAAGUUGGGACCAGACUGCAUGAGUGAUGAUGGUUUUUGUUUGUGUGAUAAAGCAAAUAUCAUACUAGUAAAGCCAUUCAGCAUUACACGAAGACUAUCAUUUGUUGAUGCAAGGCUAGGCUGUUCAUCUGACUUUCUUGUAAAUAUUGACCAACAUGCAGAUAAUCCAAAUAUUUGUAUUUAUCCAGGAGACAUCCUGCAAAAAUGUAUUUUUAUGAAAUCUAAUGUUUCAUCUUACCUGUGCUCACUGCCUUCUCGGUUCUACUGGGAUUAAGUUGUGAAUUGAUGGUUGCACAUGAAUGUUUUACAUGUUAGCAGAACUUGGCCCUCUAUAGAAUUCUAUAGUACAGUCUAUAGAAUUCUCCAGGUCUGUCUAUAGAAUCCUAUAGGACAGCCUGUGAAAUUGUUUUAAUAGAUUUUGUCAUUACAUUAUUACAAAAGUACAUAAGACUAACAGAACCCAAAAGGUUAGCUUACAGAAAUCCUAAAGCUCUGUGAACACAGAUUUUGCUAUUAGACUGCAGAAUGUCAAAUACAUGUGCUGUAUUUUCUCAAUCAGAAGCGCAUGUGCUUACGUAAAUGACAGAGGGGUUUCUGUGGUCAAAAUAAGUAAUAUUUUAACAUUUCGGUACUUAAAGAAUGGAAUUUUUGGUUGAGAUGCGCUUCUAGUGGUUUGCUUCUAAUAGAAGAAAUACAGUAUGCAUUUGUCAUGGAUUGAGAUAAAUGAUAUAGCCCAGGACUGGUAAAUUUUGACCAGCAGAAAUUCUGCACACGAAUAGACUUUUGUUAAUGUGUGACUGAAAAAUGUAAAUGUGUAUGCUCAAAUUCACAUAUAAGCGUACAACUACUAGGACAGCUAAAAUAUGGAUUUCACUAAAAAUAUCAAAUAAAAUUUAUACGUGACAAAAUCAAAAGGCAGAGUUCAAACAUGCAAAACAUUUGUGUAGGAACAUUAUUUUAGCAGACAGUUUCAAAUGGACGAAGU